RNAcentral lists this ribosomal RNA (505 nucleotides) under uncultured soil bacterium. Its description in RNAcentral is "bacterial SSU rRNA". It matches the Rfam family "Bacterial small subunit ribosomal RNA", at positions 26 to 519 of the family's 1533-position model. The record is from RNAcentral.
AGAGUGAACGCUGGCGGUAGGCCUAACACAUGCAAGUCGAACGGCAGCACAGUGGUAGCAAUACCAUGGGUGGCGAGUGGCGGACGGGUGAGGAAUACAUCGGAAUCUACCUUUUGGUGGGGGAUAACGUAGGGAAACUUACGCUAAUACCGCAUACGCCCUUCGGGGGAAAGCCGGGGACCUUCGGGCCUGGCGCUGAUAGAUGAGCCGAUGUCGGAUUAGCUAGUUGGUGAGGUAAUGGCUCACCAAGGCGACGAUCCGUAGCUGGUCUGAGAGGAUGAUCAGCCACACUGGAACUGAGACACGGUCCAGACUCCUACGGGAGGCAGCAGUGGGAAUAUUGGACAAUGGGCGCAAGCCUGAUCCAGCCAUACCGCGUGGGUGAAGAAGGCCUUCGGGUUGUAAAGCCCUUUUAGUUGGGAAAAGAAAAGCAAUCGGUUAAUACCCGGUUGUCUGAACGGUACCCAAAGAAUAAGCACCGGCUAACUUCGCGCCAGCCGACGCC